Myotis myotis is the source of this 1446-nucleotide long non-coding RNA. RefSeq lists it as uncharacterized. Lineage: Eukaryota; Metazoa; Chordata; Mammalia; Chiroptera; Vespertilionidae. The record is from RefSeq and is a predicted model, not a curated record. The transcript has 3 exons.
AAUGAGUGAGAUCAUGUGAUAUUUAUCUUUCUCCAACUGGCUUAUUUCUAUCCUUAUUACUUUUUCAUGCAUAUUCAUAUAAACAGAUAUAAACGUUCUGGCAUGAAUGAGAUUACAGAAAUAUUACACAUAAAGCCUGGCGUCCUACUGUCAAUCGCUUUUUUAAAUUGAUCAGAUCUCUCUUAUCAGUGAAUGUAACCUUUGUCACCAGCAGUUUAGCAGAGCUCAGGACUUGAGUCAGAGACAUCGGUUCCAAAGGCAAAUAAAGAGAUCUUGUUAGACAACUUACAUCUUGAAGUAGAGAGAGAGGGAGAGUUAAAAAACACACUAACUUGCCCAAGGGUAUUUUGAUUUGCAAUGUUCAAAGGCAACCAGGCAGAUCCUGGUCCGUUUUGAGGCAACUUGUGUGAUCCCCUCAAGUUUCCCUAUAAAGUGAGAUCAGUCUUUAAUGCAGAGAAAUCGGCCACAAGUUGUGGGGCCUGACCCCUUGUCUAUUAGGACAACAUCACCUAUCGUUCCCAGCAUCGAAGGAAAGCCAUUCCCUUCGGCGUAUCAGCCUGAACCAGCAUGUAACGACCCAUUUUCACCCCCCCUCCCCCCACUCCCAAAGCCUCUAGAACUGCAGCUACGGGCCUGCACGUUUAUGGGCCCUGACCACUGAUCCCAGACACCCCUGGUUAUGAAAAGUGCUGCAGCUCCACAGCCCGAAAGGACCAGGUCAUGAAGAAGGCUCUCUUCUGAAAUAGAAAGGCCGGGCAGGAAAUGCCACCAGCCUUGGCUCAUCUCUGCUUAUAAUGAACCUGGCUUUGGCCACGCAGGCCUGAAAUGUCUCCGCAGUUGGCAAUGGUUACGCUUUGAGCCAGCUGACGGCUGUGCAAGAUCGAACAGUCCUGUCUGGUUUGGGAACCAGAAGAACGAGGCCGGCCCAGCUGGUCUGCCCUUCCGUGGCCUCGCCCAGAUGGCUCCCCUGGACCUCGAUAGCUAUUGCUUCAUGGAGGCAGCACGGAGGAUGCUCUGUCCAAAGAAGCACAGACACGCAAUGCCCCUUCCAUGGGCUCAGGCUCCUCACCUGUGAAAUGGUGGCCUCCAGGGCUAGUGAGAGGGUCCUCAUGGACAUGGAAUGAGAAAAUGACACGGAAUGUGCAGGAACGCCUGGUUGGAAGGUGCUGGUCUUUUUACUCUGAUCUCAGGCUUCAGGAAGGCCAGGACCACACCGCUUCGUUCACUGUCAAGUUCUCAGUGCCGAGAAGAUGCUCAGUGAAUAUUUUUGGGGUCACCUACAGCAGGGAGCGCAGCGCUGGAGAUGGCCUGGAGAAUCUGGAGGCCUCUGCGUUCUCGCCCUCAUCCCAAACCCCCGGGGCCCCCGGACUCCCCCAGGAUCCCCGCAGAAACAGCUGGUGCCAGACCCGAUGCCCGUGUCCGCGGAGAAGCCUGGCCCCGAGGCUC